UACCUCCUCAAGCCUUGCUUGGUGUUGGGUGUUUGUCUCCUGUAGACUCGCCUUAAAACAAUUGGCAGCCGGCGUAUUGAUUUCGGAGCGCAGUACAUCUCGCGCUUUGCACUCAUAACGACGACAUCCAAAAGUACAUUUUUACAC
This 147-nucleotide unclassified non-coding RNA is filed under the name uncultured Ascomycota. RNAcentral describes it as "sequence contains ITS2". Lineage: Eukaryota; Fungi; Ascomycota. The record is from RNAcentral.